Molecule: ribosomal RNA, 469 nt
Filed under: uncultured bacterium
Lineage: Bacteria
Description: partial 16S ribosomal RNA
Rfam family: Bacterial small subunit ribosomal RNA
Source: RNAcentral
AACGAACGUUGGCGGCGUGGAUUAGGCAUGCAAGUCGAACGCGAAUCCCUGGGCAACUGGGGAGGAGAGUGGCGAAAGGGGCAGUAAGGCGUGGGUAACCUACCCUCCGGGCCGGGAUAGCUUCGGGAAACUGAAGGUAAUACCGGGCGACGCAGCGAGAUCGCAUGGUCUUGCUGCCAAAGGUCCGCCGCCGGGGGAGGGGCUCACGUGGUAUUAGCUAGACGGCGGGGUAACGGCCCACCGUGGCAAAGAUGCCUAGCAGGUGUGAGAGCACGACCUGCGCCACUGGCACUGAGACACUGGCCAGACACCUACGGGUGGCUGCAGUCGAGGAUCUUCGGCAAUGGGCGCAAGCCUGACCGAGCGACGCCGCGUGUGCGAUGAAGGCCUUCGGGUUGUAAAGCACUGUCGAGGGGGAGGAAGCCGCAAGGUUGACCUAUCCCUAGAGGAAGCACGGGCUAAGUUCGUG